Molecule: long non-coding RNA, 2003 nt
Organism: Oncorhynchus gorbuscha (pink salmon)
Lineage: Eukaryota; Metazoa; Chordata; Actinopteri; Salmoniformes; Salmonidae
Exons: 2
Source: RefSeq, a predicted model, not a curated record
UACCUAAAGGGGAGGAGCUCAUUUCAACAUCUACAUGAAGGGGAGGGGUCAACAUGACUGUACUGAAAUCUUUCCCUCGACACUGUUCUUUCCUGUGAUCGAGUGUGAAAUGGUCUUUUGUGUUGGUGGUUAGUAAGAUGUGACUGAAUACAUACAGGGGCUAACAAAGAGACGAUUAUAUAUAUAUAUAAUAGUGUCCUGAGGAUUAUUUCUGAACAGGGAUCCAUCGUCUGUGUUAUUUUUGCGAGUUUUUAUAAUUCCACGUAACAGACGCUUUUAUCCAAAGCGUUGGAAGCGUGAAUACGUUUUACGUAUCGGUGGCCCAGGCGGGAAUCAAACCCAUGACCUUAGGUAUUGGUGGCCCCGGCGGGAAUCAAACCCAUGACCCUAGGUAUCGGUGGCCCCGGCGGGAAUCAAACCCAUGACCUUAGGUAUCGGUGGCCCCGGCGGGAAUCAAACCCAUGACCUUAGGUAUUGCAAGCUCGGAGCCGCUGAGCCGCACACAGGGAUGCUGUGUUGUGUUUAUUACAGAUGUUACUAAUGUGUUGUACAUAUUAUUAAAUGGGCAGACGUCAAUAGAUGAUUUGGGGCAGGGUUCAAUGGAGCCGUUAUUCCUGUUUCUUCCCCGUGUCAGGAGAAAGAUUCCUGAACGUGACUUAAUCUCGGAUGUAGGUGUUGGGGUUGGGGGGGGGGGGAAGCGCUAUGAGUGAAGGACCAGACAUUGGGGUGUUACUUUGACUCUCUAUCCUCCUUUCUGUGUUUUUGUUACAUAGUGAAUAAGGGCUUGAGGGUCUGGAACAGUUUUCUCUUCCUGAUGUUCUGUGACCGUUAGUCAAAAUCCUUUUUAAUGUCUUUGUAAAUACUGUACAUGUUUUUGAUUGUUGUGUUUAUAUAUAUUAUGUUGUGUGUUCUUGAUAAUUAUUGCCAGAAUUAGUAGUUUAAUUGAUUUAAUGCUCUGUUUUGAACCUUUUCUAUAAGUGUAAUUACAUACUGUACGUUGGCCGCGAUUCAAGGAGUGUUGUAGCGCAGCAUACUAUAACAGAUUGUAAACAACAAAAAGGGGGCCAUUUUACGCGGACAUUUUCAGAGGUUUUACCAUGAAUACGCUCACCGCUAAAGUCCCUGGGAAAAAUGUCUGGCUGUAGAGCGCCGCUGUUGCUCUUUAUUAGCCGACAUGAUUAUAUGAGUUGUACUUUUCUCUUACGUACUGACUAGUCAGCUGUGGGUUUCCAUGGCUGAUUUUCAAAUGAUACACUAUUCCCUAUAUAGGGGCACUACUUUUGAUUGAGGCCCAUAGUGCAUUACUUUUGAAUUAGGGCUCAUAGGGCCCUGGUCAAAAGUAAUGCACUAUAUAGGGAAUAGGGUGCCAUUUGGAAUGUAAUGCAUGAGUUAAAGAUCUGAUUAAAUCAUCUCUGAUAAAGUACCUUACUGGGAUUACUUUCAAUCAAAAAGGUACAAAAUGAAAGAAAACUUGCUCCUUAUCAAAGAGCAAUUUCUCAAGUAAGAAUUUUGCUAGGAUUGUCUGUGAGUGGUCUGAGUGGGGAGGGGAGUGGUCUGAGUUGGGAGUGGUCUGAGUGGGGAGGGGAAAACUGAAAACUAGCUGUGAUUGGCAGAGAGGUUUGGAACUCUCUUUCUUAUUGGUCUAUUCACUCAUUUACCGUGAUGUCACCAGGCAGGCCAAAAGUCCAUCCAAAAACAGUCAGACAUUUGAUGCGGUCUCUUCAAACAGCUCUUACGCUAAAAAGGGCAUUAUCGUCAUUAAAAAAAUAAUUCACAGUAUUGUUCCAACCUCACUAGUGCGUACAUUAUAUAUAUAAAACACAAGGAAAAUCACAUUUUUGACUGCACUGGGCCUUUAAAGCAUUAUUCUGUCAUGUGUGUAAAGGGGGCAUUAAAACAAAAGACCUGAGCCUUGUAGCUUUGUUAUUGUUGUUAAUAUUCAAAUUAUUAUUGAGCAUGUAUUUGUAUGAACCUGGAUAUGAUAAAUAUUGUGAUUCCAAAGA